AUUGAACGCUGGCGGCGUGCUUAACACAUGCAAGUCGUGCGGUAACAGGCGUAGCAAUACGUGCUGACGAGCGGCGAACGGGUGCGUAAUACAUGGGAAUCUGCCUUUUAGUGGGGAAUAACCCGGCGAAAGCCGGGCUAAUGCCGCAUAAGAUCUUCGGAUGAAAGCGGGGGAUCGUAAGACCUCGCGCUGAUAGAUGAGCCCAUGCCGGAUUAGCUAGUUGGUGAGGUAACGGCUCACCAAGGCGACGAUCCGUAGCUGGUCUGAGAGGACGGCCAGCCACACUGGGACUGAGACACGGCCCAGACUCCUACGGGAGGCAGCAGUGGGGAAUAUUGGACAAUGGGGAAACCCUGAUCCAGCGACGCCGCGUGUGUGAAGAA
This 383-nucleotide ribosomal RNA is filed under the name uncultured bacterium. RNAcentral describes it as "bacterial SSU rRNA". It matches the Rfam family "Bacterial small subunit ribosomal RNA", at positions 30 to 412 of the family's 1533-position model. The record is from RNAcentral.